RNAcentral lists this long non-coding RNA (894 nucleotides) under Equus caballus (horse). Its description in RNAcentral is "lncRNA (ENSECAG00000059185.1)". The record is from RNAcentral. Lineage: Eukaryota; Metazoa; Chordata; Mammalia; Perissodactyla; Equidae.
GGGGAUGAGCUUAUCUCUAGAAACUCUUAUCAAUGUGGAAGGCAAGGACUUAAAUCUGCAUAAUAACCUCACUCUUGUUUACUGUGCUUUUCUGGCAAUCUCCCAUAACUGGCUCCUCCCACCCCCAACAUCCUCCUUUGUCUUUAGCUGAGGAUGGUAUUUAAGUCUGGCCAGAAGGACUUAGAGUGGGUAGAGGAAAUGUCUUCCUCUCCUACAGUUUAGCAACUUAAACGGGAUAAAAUUUCACUGCCUGGACACUGCUCACUCCUGGACUGCUGCAGCCAAGAGAUCCUGGACCCCUGACAAGAACCAGCAAAAGGACCUGAGAGCCAUUCUUUUGAAAUGCAAAUGUUUCUCAGAAACUGGAAGAUUAGCCCUGAGAUAACUGCUACCGAUCCUCCUCUUUUUGCUGAGGAAGACUGGCCCUGAGCGAACAUCCAUGCCCAUCUUCCUCUGCUUUAUACGUGGGACGCCUGCCACAGCGUGACAUGCCAAGUGGUGCCAUGUCUGCACCCGGGAUCCAAACUGGCGAACCCCGGGCCCCCGGAGUGGAACAUGCGCACUUAACUGCUGCGCCACCGGGACGGCCCCUAAAGCUCUCUCCUUCUUGAUGCCAGCACCUCACCUCCUUCAAACAUCUCGAGGCUUUGACGUCAUGGACUUGCUCCAGAACCCCAGGAGUCUGAGUUGGGAUUGUCCCACUGGGGCUUGCUGCAAAUACUCCACCAUUUUUUCCCACCACUAAUAUUUCCAACAUCCUAGUGUCUGCUGGGUCAUAGACCAAGCACCAGAGCUGCUUGAACUACGUCCUGAACCUGCCACGGGGCCCUUUCCUGCUCUGAGUUCCAUUCAGAUCUGGUAAUCUUCUAUGUCACCUGGCAUAUGGGCCAAAGC